GUGCCAGCAGCCGCGGUAAUACGGGGGGAGCAAGCGUUGUUCGGAAUUACUGGGCGUAAAGGGCGUGUAGGCGGCCUUGUAAGUCGGGGGUGAAAUCCACUGGCUCAACCAGUGACGUGCCUUCGAAACUGCUUGGCUUGAGUAUGGCAGAGGAGAGCGGAAUUCCAGGUGUAGCGGUGAAAUGCGUAGAUAUCUGGAAGAACACCGGUGGCGUAGGCGGCUCUCUGGGCCAAUACUGACGCUGAGGCGCGAAAGCCAGGGGAGCAAACGGGAUUAGAAACCCCCGUAGUCC
RNAcentral lists this ribosomal RNA (292 nucleotides) under uncultured bacterium. RNAcentral's name for it is "partial 16S ribosomal RNA". It matches the Rfam family "Bacterial small subunit ribosomal RNA", at positions 505 to 796 of the family's 1533-position model. The record is from RNAcentral.